RNAcentral lists this ribosomal RNA (454 nucleotides) under uncultured bacterium. RNAcentral describes it as "bacterial SSU rRNA". It matches the Rfam family "Bacterial small subunit ribosomal RNA", at positions 340 to 784 of the family's 1533-position model. The record is from RNAcentral.
UACGGAAGGCAGCAGUGGGGAAUAUUGCACAAUGGGCGAAAGCCUGAUGCAGCUAUGCCGCGUGUAUGAAGAAGGCCUUAGGGUUGUAAAGUACUUUCAUCGGGGAGGAAAAACAAAACUAAUAAUUUUAUUUCUUGACGUUACCCGAAAAAGAAGCACCGGCUAACUCCGUGCCAGCAGCCGCGGUAAUACGGAGGGUGCUAGCGUUAAUCAGAAUUACUGGGCGUAAAGAGCACGUAGGUGGUUUUUUUAAAGUCAGAUGUGAAAUCCCUGGGCUUAACCUAGGAACUGCAUUUUGAAACUGAAAUACUAGAGUAUCGUAGAGGGAGGUAGAAUUCUAGGUGUAGCGGUGAAAUGCGUAGAUAUCUGGAGGAAUACCUGUGGCGAAAGCGGCCUCCUAAACGAAUACUGACACUGAGGUGCGAAAGCGUGGGGAGCAAACAGGGAUUAGAUA